Molecule: ribosomal RNA, 531 nt
Filed under: uncultured bacterium
Lineage: Bacteria
Description: bacterial SSU rRNA
Rfam family: Bacterial small subunit ribosomal RNA
Source: RNAcentral
AAUAGAUACCCGGGUAGUCCUGGCAGUAAACGGUGCACGUUUGGUGUGGGAGGAUUCGACCCCUUCUGCGCCGGAGCUAACGCGUUAAACGUGCCGCCUGGGGAGUACGGUCGCAAGAUUAAAACUCAAAGAAAUUGACGGGGGGCCCGCACAAGCGGUGGAGUAUGUGGCUUAAUUCGAUGCAACGCGAAGAACCUUACCUGGCCUUGACAUGCAUCUCUAAGCUGGUGAAAGCCAGUGACUCCCGAAAGGGAGAAUUUGCACAGGUGCUGCAUGGCUGUCGUCAGCUCGUGUCGUGAGAUGUUGGGUUAAGUCCCGUAACGAGCGCAACCCCUGUAUUUAAUUGCUAACAUUAAGUUGAGUACAUUAAAUAGACUGUCGGUGAUAAACCGGAGGAAGGUGGGGAUGACGUCAAGUCCUCAUGGCCCUUAUGGGUAGGGCUACACACGUGCUACAAUGGGCAGUACAGAGGGAAGCGAAGCCGCGAGGUGAAGCAAAUCUCAGAAAGCUGUUCGUAGUCCGGAUUGGAGU